AAUUCCAGGUGUAGCGGUGAAAUGCGUAGAGAUCUGGAGGAAUACCGGUGGCGAAGGCGGCCCCCUGGACAAAGACUGACGCUCAGGUGCGAAAGCGUGGGGAGCAAACAGGAUUAGAUACCCUGGUAGUCCACGCCGUAAACGAUGUCUACUUGGAGGUUGUGCCCUUGAGGCGUGGCUUCCGGAGCUAACGCGUUAAGUAGACCGCCUGGGGAGUACGGCCGCAAGGUUAAAACUCAAAUGAAUUGACGGGGGCCCGCACAAGCGGUGGAGCAUGUGGUUUAAUUCGAUGCAACGCGAAGAACCUUACCUGGUCUUGACAUCCACG
Molecule: ribosomal RNA, 328 nt
Filed under: Salmonella enterica subsp. enterica
Lineage: Bacteria; Pseudomonadati; Pseudomonadota; Gammaproteobacteria; Enterobacterales; Enterobacteriaceae
Description: bacterial SSU rRNA
Rfam family: Bacterial small subunit ribosomal RNA
Source: RNAcentral